RNAcentral lists this ribosomal RNA (507 nucleotides) under uncultured bacterium. Its description in RNAcentral is "partial 16S ribosomal RNA". It matches the Rfam family "Bacterial small subunit ribosomal RNA", at positions 30 to 523 of the family's 1533-position model. The record is from RNAcentral.
AUUGAACGCUGGCGGCAGGCCUAACACAUGCAAGUCGAGCGGCAGCGGAAGGAAGCUUGCUUCCUUGCCGGUGAGCGGCGGACGGGUGAGUAAGGUAUGGGGAUCUGGCCGAAGGCGGGGGAUAACCACUGGAAACGGUGGCUAAUACCGCAUAAUCUCUAAGGAGCAAAGUGGGGGACCGUUCAGGCCUCACACCUUCGGAUGAACCCAUAUGGGAUUAGCUAGUAGGUGGGGUAAUGGCUCAACUAGGCGACGAUCUCUAGCUGGUCUGAGAGGAGGAGCAGCCACACUGGGACUGAGACACGGCCCAGACUCCUACGGGAGGCAGCAGUGGGGAAUAUUGCACAAUGGGCGCAAGCCUGAUGCAGCCAUGCCGCGUGUAUGAAGAAGGCCUUCGGGUUGUAAAGUACUUUCAGUCGUGAGGAAGGUGUUAAGGUUAAUAACCUUAGCAAUUGACGUUAGCGACAGAAGAAGCACCGGCUAACUCCGUGCCAGCCGCCGCCGUAA